This 468-nucleotide ribosomal RNA is filed under the name uncultured bacterium. RNAcentral describes it as "partial 16S ribosomal RNA". It matches the Rfam family "Bacterial small subunit ribosomal RNA", at positions 28 to 507 of the family's 1533-position model. The record is from RNAcentral.
GACGAACGCUGGCGGCGUGCUUAACGCAUGCAAGUCGAACGGAAAGGCCCUGCUUUUGUGGGGUGCUCGAGUGGCGAACGGGUGAGUAACACGUGAGUAACCUGCCCUUGACUUUGGGAUAACUUCAGGAAACUGGGGCUAAUACCGGAUAGAAGCUCCUGCUGCAUGGUGGGGGUUGGAAAGUUUCGGCGGUUGGGGAUGGACUCGCGGCUUAUCAGCUUGUUGGCGGGGUAGUGGCUUACCAAGGCUUUGACGGGUAGCCGGCCUGAGAGGGUGACCGGCCACAUUGGGACUGAGAUACGGCCCAGACUCCUACGGGAGGCAGCAGUGGGGAAUAUUGCACAAUGGGCGGAAGCCUGAUGCAGCAACGCCGCGUGCGGGAUGACGGCCUUCGGGUUGUAAACCGCUUUCGCCUGUGACGAAGCGUGAGUGACGGUAAUGGGUAAAGAAGCACCGGCUAACUACAUG